AAAUAGCCCCCUAUGUUUUGAUUCUUUGGCAGUUUUGACCCCCCAAGGCAAAAUAAAAAUAAAAAAUAAAAAAUUUGACACGUGGCACCACACUUAGGGUGCCACGUCAGCGUUGACCGAGUCAACACUGGACUAGGGGUUUAAAACUGUCAAAGAAUCAAAACAUAGGGGGCUGUUU
Molecule: microRNA precursor, 178 nt
Filed under: Medicago truncatula (barrel medic)
Lineage: Eukaryota; Viridiplantae; Streptophyta; Magnoliopsida; Fabales; Fabaceae
Description: MIR2619 microRNA precursor family
Rfam family: MIR2619 microRNA precursor family
Source: Rfam by way of RNAcentral